This 936-nucleotide ribosomal RNA is filed under the name Triticum aestivum (bread wheat). RNAcentral describes it as "partial small subunit ribosomal RNA". Lineage: Eukaryota; Viridiplantae; Streptophyta; Magnoliopsida; Poales; Poaceae. The record is from RNAcentral.
AUGGCGCAGCAUCCGCGAGAAGAACCACAGUGCCUUGGCGUCAAGCCCAUUCUGGUUGUACCCCGUGAUGACCGCGUUCCACGAGACGAUGGUCCGGUCCGGCAUGCUCUCGAACAAGGACAAAGCAAGGUCCAUCCUCCCCAGACGGGCGUCGAGCGACACCAUGGCGUUCCAGCUCGACACGCUCCGUGCCGGCAUCCUCUCAAACACGGCCCUCGCUGUCUCGGCGUCCCCGCACUUGCCGUACAUGUUGAGCACCGAGUUGGCCACGGGCACGCAGCCGCCCAGGCCGAGCUUGACCGCGAAGGAGUGCACCUUCCGCCCGGCCCCGCCGGCCUCCGCGGCCGCGCACGACGAGAGCACGUUGGUGAGCGUGAACUGCGUCGGCGCCAGCCCGUCCCCGACCAUGUCCAGGAACGCCUCGACGGCCUCCCCGAAGCGGCGGGCGCGGUUGAGCCCCACGACCAUGACGGUCCACGACACGGCGUCGCGCUCGGGCAUUUCCGCGAACACGGCGCGCACGUCGGCCAGGCGGCUGGACUUGGAGUAGGCCGACAGCAGCGAGUUCCACGUGAACACGUUCCGCCGCGCCGCGGGGACCUCGUCGAACAGGCGCCGCGCCUCCCGGAGGCCGCCUCCUCCGGCGGCGGCGUAGUAGGAGAGGAGGUUGUUGCAGAGGUAGGCGCUGGCGAGGAGGCCGGCCUUGACGGCGCGCGCGUGGACGGCGCGCCCGGCGCCCGGGUUGGCGGCCGCGCCGCACAGCCGCAGAAGGCGCGCGCAGUGGUCGGCGGCCGUCCGCGGCGCCCCGGCGGCGUGGGGCUCCAGGGCGGCGGCAUCUCGCAUGUCGCGGGAAAGUUAGGCGGGCCGCGGCCCACCGGAUUAGCAAAAACCGGCUCGCUCGCUCGCCCCACUUUUUCCCCAAACCGAAACUGCUAG